CCUACGGGUGGCAGCAGUGAGGAAUAUUGGUCAAUGGACGAGAGUCUGAACCAGCCAAGUAGCGUGAAGGAUGACUGCCCUAUGGGUUGUAAACUUCUUUUAUAAAGGAAUAAAACGAGGCACGUGUGCCUUUUUGCAUGUACUUUAUGAAUAAGGAUCGGCUAACUCCGUGCCAGCAGCCGCGGUAAUACGGAGGAUCCGAGCGUUAUACGGAUUUAUUGGGUUUAAAGGGAGCGUAGAUGGGUUGUUAAGUCAGUUGUGAAAGUUUGCGGCUCAACCGUAAAAUUGCAAUUGAUACUGGCAGUCUAGAGUACAGUUGAGGUAGGCGGAAUUCGUGGUGUAGCGGUGAAAUGCUUAGAUAUCACGAAGAACCCCGAUUGCGAAGGCAGCUUACUAAACUGUGACUGACAUUGAGGCUCGAAAGUGUGGGUAUCAAACAGGAUUAGAUACCCUUGUAGUC
RNAcentral lists this ribosomal RNA (460 nucleotides) under uncultured bacterium. Its description in RNAcentral is "partial 16S ribosomal RNA". It matches the Rfam family "Bacterial small subunit ribosomal RNA", at positions 338 to 795 of the family's 1533-position model. The record is from RNAcentral.